This 206-nucleotide ribosomal RNA is filed under the name uncultured bacterium. Its description in RNAcentral is "partial 16S ribosomal RNA". It matches the Rfam family "Bacterial small subunit ribosomal RNA", at positions 1297 to 1500 of the family's 1533-position model. The record is from RNAcentral.
AUUGCUUAGGCUGCAACUCGCCUGCAUGAAGUCGGAAUUGCUAGUAAUCGUAGGUCAGCAUACUACGGUGAAUACGUUCCCGGGCCUUGUACACACCGCCCGUCAAACCAUGAGAGUUGGCAACACCCGAAGUCGGUAGUCUAACCGCAAGGAGGACGCCGCCGAAGGUGGGGUUGAUGAUUAGGGUUAAGUCGUAACAAGGUAUC